Molecule: microRNA, 22 nt
Filed under: Drosophila simulans
Lineage: Eukaryota; Metazoa; Arthropoda; Insecta; Diptera; Drosophilidae
Also listed under: 1 other name
Description: Dsi-Mir-252-P1b_3p (mature (co-guide))
Source: RNAcentral
GCAUUGUAUGGCCUACUUAACU